AUUUAAAUACAUCUCAUGUUGAGGUUCAAC
This is a non-coding RNA of Clostridium autoethanogenum DSM 10061, 30 nucleotides long. Lineage: Bacteria; Bacillati; Bacillota; Clostridia; Eubacteriales; Clostridiaceae. The record is from Rfam.